GCAAGUUGGUUCUCAAGUGUUUUUCAGAGCUUCACAGUUGUAUUUUGGAAAUCUUCUCCCCGUAGGAUUCUUUGAGUUUUCUCUCUAAUGUCGGAUGCAACGCCACUCAACAGACUACCCAGAGGUUUAUCAGCAUCCAAAGUUGAUGAAAGAAGAAGUAAAUUACACAAUGACAAGUUGAAAGAAGUCCAAGUUGAUGAAGCUUCAAAAA
Molecule: non-coding RNA, 211 nt
Organism: Nicotiana tabacum (common tobacco)
Lineage: Eukaryota; Viridiplantae; Streptophyta; Magnoliopsida; Solanales; Solanaceae
Source: RefSeq, a predicted model, not a curated record